UCUUUGAGCAGUAUUCCUAUAGUCCCAGCUUCCCGGGAGGCUGAGGUUGGAGGAUCGCUUGAGUCCAGGAGUUCUGGGCUGCUGUGCGCUAUACCGAUCGGGUGUCCGCACUAAGUUCGGCAUUAAUAUGGUGACCUCCCGGGAGCAGGGGACCACCAGGUUGCCUAAGGAAGGGUGAACUGGCCCAGGUAGGAAACAGAGCAGGUCAAAACUCCCGUGCUGAUCAGUAAGCAGAUUUUUAUGUUAUUUGCUUUUGUUCUGUUACUCUCAGAACAAAAUAAGUACAAUUUUCU
This 293-nucleotide signal recognition particle RNA is filed under the name Carlito syrichta (Philippine tarsier). Its description in RNAcentral is "Metazoan signal recognition particle RNA (ENSTSYG00000025893.1)". It matches the Rfam family "Metazoan signal recognition particle RNA". Rfam says of the family: The signal recognition particle (SRP) is a universally conserved ribonucleoprotein. Lineage: Eukaryota; Metazoa; Chordata; Mammalia; Primates; Tarsiidae. The record is from Rfam by way of RNAcentral.